Molecule: ribosomal RNA, 468 nt
Filed under: uncultured bacterium
Lineage: Bacteria
Description: partial 16S ribosomal RNA
Rfam family: Bacterial small subunit ribosomal RNA
Source: RNAcentral
ACUCCUACGGGAGGCAGCAGUGGGGAAUAUUGCGCAAUGGGCGAAAGCCUGACGCAGCCAUACCGCGUGUGUGAAGAAGGCCUUCGGGUUGUAAAGCACUUUCAGUGGGGAGGAAAAGCUGGUGGCUAAUAUCCAUCGGCCGUGACGCUACCCACAGAAGAAGCACCGGCUAAUUCCGUGCCAGCAGCCGCGGUAAUACGGAAGGUGCGAGCGUUAAUCGGAAUUACUGGGCGUAAAGCGCACGUAGGUGGCUUGGUAAGUCGGAUGUGAAAGCCCCGGGCUCAACCUGGGAACUGCAUUCGAUACUGCCGAGCUAGAGUACGAAAGAGGGGGGUGGAAUUCCAGGUGUAGCGGUGAAAUGCGUAGAGAUCNGGAGGAACACCAGUGGCGAAGGCGGCCNNCUGGNNCNANACUGACGCUGAGGNNCGAANGCGUGGGGAGCAAACAGGAUUAGAUACCCUGGUAGUC